RNAcentral lists this long non-coding RNA (713 nucleotides) under Chinchilla lanigera (long-tailed chinchilla). RNAcentral describes it as "lncRNA (ENSCLAG00000022549.1)". The record is from RNAcentral. Lineage: Eukaryota; Metazoa; Chordata; Mammalia; Rodentia; Chinchillidae.
UCUCACUCUCUGACAAGGUUUUGCUAAGUUGCCAAGGCUCACGAUUCUCCUGCCUCAGCCUCUGAGUAGCUGGGAUUACAGGUGUGGUUCCUGCAUCUGGAUGUUUUUGUUGAGUGCUAUUAGUUAUUAUUAAAUUUCAGACACCAGUCCUCCCUCCCUCCCUCCCUCCCUCCCUCCCUUCCUUUCUUCCCUGCCUUCCUGCUUUCUUCCCUUCCUGUGAUUCCUUUUCUAUGUCGGCCUCACUGGCUUAGACAGUGGUCGGAGAGCUGAGAAAACAUCACUUCUGGAUGUUUCUGAAGCGAUGUUUCCGGGAGAAACCAACAUUUGACUGAGAAGACUGAGGAGAGAAGUUGGCCUGUACGAGGCAUCUGAUCCGCCCAGGACUGGAUUGGAACACAAAGGCGGCGGAAGGCAAAGCUGACCUCAGCCGAGCUGUGGCGCCUCUUCUCCCGCCACUGGCGCUGGGCUCCUGGUCCUUGGCCUCUGUGUGCGCUGGACCCAGCCUGCUGUGUGCGCUGGACACAGCCUGCUGCCUUUCCUGGGCUCUGCUUGCAGAUGGCUCUGAGUGAGGGGCUCCCUCCCAGUUGUCGCGAAGGCUGCUGUCUAGUUGAGUCGCUUCUGUAGCGGGAACAGUCAGCGUCAUUAAUUUUCCCCUGCACUGUGUGGGCCGUGGAACAUGAAACUGACUUGAUGGAUCACAGUGCCACUUCGGA